UACGGGGGGGGCAAGCGUUGUUCGGAAUUACUGGGCGUAAAGGGCUCGUAGGCGGCCAACUAAGUCAGACGUGAAAUCCCUCGGCUUAACCGGGGAACUGCGUCUGAUACUGGAUGGCUUGAGGUUGGGAGAGGGAUGCGGAAUUCCAGGUGUAGCGGUGAAAUGCGUAGAUAUCUGGAGGAACACGGUGGCGAAGGCGGCAUCCUGGACCGAAUUCUGACGCUGAGGAGCGAAAGCCAGGGGAGCAAA
Molecule: ribosomal RNA, 249 nt
Filed under: uncultured bacterium
Lineage: Bacteria
Description: partial 16S ribosomal RNA
Rfam family: Bacterial small subunit ribosomal RNA
Source: RNAcentral